CCCAGCGCGGGGCUAUAAUCUCUGAAACCGAGCCCCAGACCCAGCCAAUCACUUAGCUCCUCAUAACAAGUCUAACUGGCUCUGGGAAGCUGGAAGGGCUGCGCUGGAACACAUAGAUGAGAUAUUCCACACAAUAAUCUGCUUAUCUGGAAUCGCUUUGCCUGAAGAGGCCAGAGGAAAAAGCACAGCUUCAUUGUCUCGGGGCAAGAGGUGCAGGUGAUCUGGGAUCAACGCGGCCGCACCUGGAGCAG
This is a non-coding RNA of Oryctolagus cuniculus (rabbit), 251 nucleotides long. Lineage: Eukaryota; Metazoa; Chordata; Mammalia; Lagomorpha; Leporidae. The record is from Rfam.